ACAUGCCUACAACAUAGCGUUAAUGCAUUGAAUCCCAUAAGAACUUCGUAGUUAAGCACGCUUGGGCUAGAGUAGUACUGGGAUAGGUGACCGCCCAGAAAGUCCUAGUGUUUUACAUGCC
This is a non-coding RNA of Picea glauca (white spruce), 121 nucleotides long. The record is from Rfam. NCBI's taxonomy places the organism in Eukaryota, Viridiplantae, Streptophyta, Pinopsida, Pinales, Pinaceae.